UGGGCAAUCUGCCCUUCACUCUGGGACAAGCCCUGGAAACGGGGUCUAAUACCGGAUAACACUCCUGCCUGCAUGGGCGGGGGUUGAAAGCUCCGGCGGUGAAGGAUGAGCCCGCAGCCUAUCAGCUUGUUGGUGGGGUAAUGGCCUACCAAGGCGACGACGGGUAGCUGGUCUGAGAGGACGACCAGCCACACUGGAACUGAGAUACGGUCCAGACUCCGUACGGGAGCAG
Molecule: ribosomal RNA, 232 nt
Filed under: uncultured bacterium
Lineage: Bacteria
Description: partial 16S ribosomal RNA
Rfam family: Bacterial small subunit ribosomal RNA
Source: RNAcentral